CAGGGGAUCAAAUACUUUUUUCCCUCACUGUAUAACACACUGACAAAGAAGAGUAGAAUAACAUUUGAGUACCUGAGUGUUAAACAGUUGUUAUUUUCACUGUCUUGUAUUGUAGCUACAUGUCUUCUUCUCUGUUCUUCUGUUAUGUUUAAGUAGAAAUUGAAAUUUCAGCCACGGACUGACAACCAAUGACAAUUAACACUGAUAGUCAAUGGUUUGUGUGUAUGUGAGUGUGUGCGUGUUUAUGAUUGAUUUGAAUGCCUAUGUAAUGUAUGUGUUUUCAUCAGUCUGAAUUUCUCUUUCUCUCUGAAAGUAACAGCCAUGAUGAAACAGUUUCUGUUGAGUUCUUGCCUGGCCGUAGGCCUUUUCGGCACUUUGUUAGCUCAAACAGGUACAUAUUGCAUUACAGAUUUUGUCCUUAUUUAACCUACAACCUGAUCCUACUCCCCUCCUUUUUACCUAUUGGUCAAUAUGACUUCAAGUCUUACUGACAGACACGUCUGUACUUCUAGAGGCUUCUAGCCCUUUGGUAACCCUAAAGAGUGGCAGUGUUCGUGGGCAGUACAGGACAGUGAAGGGCACAGAAAAGGUAGUGGAGGAGUACCUGGGGAUUCCCUUUGCACACCCCCCUUGGGCUCGCUGAGUCUGACUGCCCCUUUGCCUGCUGAGCCCUGGGUGGGAGUGAGAGAUGGCACCAAACUACCCCUUACUCAGGUUAUGGUUUGGAUCCAUGGGGAGGCUUAGAUGUGGGUGGAACCUUCCAAUAUGAUGGAUCGGCCCUGGCGGCCUAUCAGAAUGGGGUUGUGGUUGUCAUUCAGUAUCGCCUUAGCAUCCUGGGUUUCUUAAGGUAUGACCGUGACAACAUUUCACCAGUGUUACUCUACAUUUGUUCCAAUUCGUAUUCAGUGCCUUAAACUCUAACUGAACUAUAGUAUGUUUUACAAUGGUGCCUUGAAUGUUCAUUUGAUGUGCCAGGUGUGCCAAAACAAUUGCAACCUUAGACAUUACAACACCAGAUGUAUUUUUUAUUUGCUUCAAGUACAGGAGACGAACAUGCAGGUGGUAACUGGGGCUUCUUGGACCAGAUUGCCAGCCUUCAGUGGGUUCGUGAUAAUAUCAAGGAUUUUGGGGGAGACCCAGACUCAGUCACCAUCUUUGGACAAUCUACCGGGGACAUUAGUGCCUCCAUGCUGGUAGGUAUGAGAAAGACAAUGUGACACAGCAGUGAGAUGGUCAGGUACAGAAGAAGAGGUGUGGUUGAAUUUAUACCUCACUGUGUAAACCAUCAAAACCAAAGAGAGUAGCACUGUUUGACCCAAUGGCUCUGUCUAUCGCCUGACAGGUGUUGUAUCUGUUAGCUGAGGGCCUGUUUCCUAGAGCCAUCCCUAUGAGUGGAGUGGCACCACUGGAGGCCCAUUACACCAACAACCCACUGGCCAACGCCAAGAUGAUAGCCACUCUGUCAGAGUGUGAUGACAGCACUACUGAGAAGAUUGUACAGUGCAUCAGAGGGACAUACUCACACCAUCAAAAAGGUUUAGGCAUUCUUGAGCCCUGCCAUUGAUGGUGUGUUCCUGAAAGGGCCUCCUGAAGAGGUUUUGAAGAACAAGGAGUUCCUGAAGGUUCCUAUGGUUGUAGGGGUGGUCAACCAUGAAUUUGGAUGGAUUAUGGCUCAGGCAAGCUCAUUGGCUAUUAUAUCUUGUUAUGAGAUUUUCUUUAAGACAACGUUCUUGUGGUCAUCAGAUCAACUAUUUACUGUACCUGUAUCUCCA
Salmo salar (Atlantic salmon) is the source of this 1772-nucleotide non-coding RNA. The record is from RefSeq and is a predicted model, not a curated record. NCBI's taxonomy places the organism in Eukaryota, Metazoa, Chordata, Actinopteri, Salmoniformes, Salmonidae.